UACGGAGGGUGCAAGCGUUAUCCGGAUUCACUGGGUUUAAAGGGUGCGUAGGCGGAUAGGUAAGUCCGUGGUGAAAUCUCCAGGCUUAACUUGGAAACUGCCAUUGAUACUAUUAAUCUUGAAUACCGUGGAGGUCAGCGGAAUAUGUCAUGUAGCGGUGAAAUGCUUAGAUAUGACAUAGAACACCAAUUGCGAAGGCAGCUGGCUACACGAAUAUUGACACUGAUGCACGAAAGCGUGGGGAUCAAACAGG
Molecule: ribosomal RNA, 253 nt
Filed under: uncultured bacterium
Lineage: Bacteria
Description: partial 16S ribosomal RNA
Rfam family: Bacterial small subunit ribosomal RNA
Source: RNAcentral